UACUGUACAGUAAUACUGAUAUUUUUUACCCCUUUUUGUAAAUCACAUCGUGGUUCUUUACAGCUUCCCGGCUCCUGUCAGGCCAAGUGAGAAUCAGGGUAAAAACAGUGCCACGUGGAGAGCUCUGUCCUGGAAGUUUACUGAGAAAUACAACUCCCAGGAACAUAGAGAACACAGAGUCAUCUCCCUGUGAGGGGCCUCAUGAACAACCCACCGUUUAUAUUUCUACUCUGAUGUAAAACAGAUGUGAAUAGGUGCUUAAAAACAAACAAGGCCAUAGUAAUCACCAACAAACCUCAAAAACCUUGACUUAUGUUGGGCAGGAUAUUCACUGCUCUGCUCUGGGAGUGUGCGUCUGCACGUGAGGCACAGGAACAGAAAGGGGAUUUUUUUUUUGGAGGAGCGAAGCUGGAAAUGAGUGGAGGAGGAGGUUACAUCAGAGACAGACAGAAAGCCAAAGGAAAGAAAUACUGAAGAAAAUUGUAGAAAAUUAACUUGUAGGCAUGAUCUAACUAUUGAGACAUCCUUCUGCAGGGACUACAUGUACAUUAGCACAACAGUUAGAGUGCUGUGAAAACACUGAUAAGGAGUGGAGAGAUACCAGGACUGAGUAAAUGCAGGCUUCAUCAGCGUUGGUCUAAUCUCUGACGUCAAACGCAUCAAGACCAGCUCUCGUACAUUAGGUGACAAGUGGCCUGUAGUGACAUCAGACACCAUCAUGUUGAAAUGCCUUGAAACAGAUUGGGUUUAAUGUGCACACAAGCGAAUGUCAUCGCGCAACUCAAAAAACAGUAAUGAUGUUCAAGUCACAUUUAGGUUUUCAGCUGUUGAAGUUAAAGUAUGCUUUUUCUUUUAUGAAAGUCUUUAUAAAAGAAAUUCAAUAACAUUUUGGGUAGCUGUGGAAACUACUGUAAUUAUUUGGAGUGUAUGAUCAACUUACAACCACCAUGUCCACUGUUGGGAGUUGAUUUAGGACAAUAAAUCUCUAUAUGGUCUAGACAAGUGGUCCCCAAACCUCCGGGCCACGGCCAGCAACGGUCCAUUGGUCAAUUGGUAACGGGCCGCACAGAAAGAAUGCAUAACUAAUUAUUUCCAUUUUAUUUAUUAUCUGAUCCUAAAAGAUGUUUCAUUUUGAAAAAUUACCAGAUUCAGUCCACCGCAUCCGUCUGUGACUCACAUUUGAUACAUGUCAAGAUGCUUGCCUUGGUCACAUGUCUUAACUUAACCUUCUGAAAAGGUCUGCUCUGGCCGCUUACACAUAAUACAUUACCACUAAAUUAAAACCUCCAAGCUAGCAAAAUGUGCCAGUUCCUGUUACUUUGUUCAGUGUAUACUGUAGAAAAUUCGCUAUACUAGGAGUAAAAAAAACAUCUUUCAUGGGGAUGAAGCAAAACUGAACAUAAUAAAAUAUAAAUGACUCCCAACAGCUCAUCUGCAGGAUCUUGGUUUUAAAAGGUUACUUACACUAAUCUGACCCAUCUGCUCUUCACACACUUGUGGUGCAAACAAUGUAAGCACCAGUCAUUCAUCUCUACUCAUCUAAGACGGACUAUAGAGGCAUGAGGUCAUUGAAGGUCAAUUGUAGACACACAUCCCUUUGCUUUUGUGUUGACCUCUGUAGCAACUUGAGAUGCUAAUGUUUUGUUAAUGUUAAAAUGUUUGUAAACAGGAGUAAGAAUAGCCCAGCACCUGCUUUCAAAUGAUCCAACCAUUUGUGAAUUUAUUUAUAUAUAUGUCUGGCAGCAGACUCUAAACAACUUCCUUUUAGCACCUCUGGCUAACAGCUUCUGGUGACAUAACACAGAUGCAACAGAUUUGCAGGAAAUAGGAGCUAGCUGAGUUCACGUAGCUAAGUGAUUAGCGUAUGGGUGCAGUCGCAGUAGCCCUUAUCUCAUUUGGUUAAAAAAAGCCUGUUUUUGUCAGUAACACUAUGAGACACUACACAAUUAUCAGUCAGCAGCAGCAACUAACAGACUGUGGCAGCAGUCACCUUUUUGUACCAAGAACCAGUCGGCCGGUAUCAACAGUUAAGGCGGACUGGUAAUACCGGGCCAUCAUUGAAGGAUCAUUAAAUUUUCAAAAUAAAACAUCUUUUAGACUUUGUUCUGUAGUAUCGGAGUCUGAAUGAUGUACUGUUUUGAAACAUUGCCAGUUUAUAGCCUCUGCGUGUUUGCUCGGAGUCUGUGCUCAUUUCUUCUCCUACAUCAUACUUACUAUUACUAAACUGUUUUAUGAGUGAAAAGUGAGUUUUCCAAUGGUCUUAUUGAUCUGUUAAGGGUAAAACAAUAGUCACUUCAUAGCUGUUAGAAAUUUGGUUACUUUUCUUAGUGUUUUCUCUCUUUUCAGGAAAUCAGUAUAUAUUUUCAGGAAAUCAGUAUAUAUUUUUUAAAGAACACUGAUUUUGACUAAUGGCAUGUUUUACUGUUUAAUACUAUUAGUUCAAAUAUUUUAUAUAUAAAAAUCAUGUUUUUGCUGAUUUAGACUUGGUUCUUUUUCAUUUUUAAGGAGGCGCCAACAACUCCCAGCUUUGGAUAAGACUGACCAUUAGUGACUUAAGUUAUUUAUUCCAUAUUGAUAAUAUUUUCUAUUUUGUUUGAAAAUUAGAGGGGGCUCUAUAUUUUUGUCACUUGUUUUUAAUCCAAUUAUCUGGGAAAACCUUUGUUAGCUUUAGUGAAUCAAAAUAACAGAUAAAGACACCAUGGCUCUGUUGAAGUGCUCCACUCAGUCACCCUGACAACUGUUGCCACGUGAUAGCCCAGAAGCUGUGAAACAGUACCUGGAGCUCACCUUCUUCUGGCACAGAAGAGAAACCACAUUUCUAAUUCAUGACAGGACCCUGACCCUCCAGGCAACAGGACCCUACCACUGCACUCUACUGACAUGUAAUAGGGCUGUCCCACAAUGCAGCAUUCAACUGAAUGCUCUGCACCCUUUGUUAAUGAGUCAGUCUGAGGCUCAUUCAUUCUUCUGCCCACCUGCUGUGUCAUUCACCUGUUCAGUUGGACUAAGGCGUCAGAGUUGCACCUUCACUAAUUAUUUAUCCUGGGGUUCCUGGGAAUAGGUUUUACUCAUUCCUGGUGUUGGAACUAAAUUGUGAAGACUAAAAGGUUCAACUAAAGAAAAUAGCCUAAAUAAAUGUCUCAGUUGUCCAGUGUUUGCACCAGGUUUGUGUUUGUGACCUUUUGAUAAAGAAGAGGUGUGGCAGGUCAAAGCAACAUUUGCUGUGAUAUUAUUUUGUACUUUCUUUGACCGUAAAGCCUCAUUAAUGUCCAUCAUUAAAACUCUCUCAGAAGGUAUAUGGUAUUACUGUGAUUAAAAAAAAAAGUAACUUUGAGAUUGUUUCUUUUUUUUCUGCAUCAUGGACAUCGGCCUUUACUUAAAGAAGAUUCUCUUUUGAUCAAGCAGUCCUUUCAGUUGUCUUUCUGAAGUUGUCUUGAUGUGUGUUACAGCUAUGAUGAAACACAUCAGCAGUGGCUGUUAAUUAUUUAGUACAGUAACUGUAACAGACAGACUAUAAUAGUUAGUCUGCACCAGUCCUGUGGUAGCAGGCCACUGCUGCUUAUUGUGCAUGGUGGAAACUCUGGAAGAACUCUUCGGCUUAUGUUACACAUAGUAUUUAUUUAACCCAGGGCAGGAUUUUUCAGGUCAGAAACAGCGUUAACCUCAGAUGACUUGAUGAACAUCAUGUUUGUGUAAAUAAUGUUCUGCUUCCGUUGCUCGAACAGAGGAACCCAGCUGACCAGUUUGUUGCUGUUACAUGAUAGCAUCAAACCGAUGAAACCCUACAAAAACAUUGCUUGUAUAAAAAAAACAUGAAAUUCAAAUACUAGGAUGUUUUCUUUUACAGUUUUAACACUGAAAACUGAAAAAUAUUUGCACACCUUAGAUUGUUACACAUGAACCCUAUUUUUUAGGUUAAUGUAACGGUUCUUAUCAGCCUGGGACACCUCUGUGGCAGGUGUGUAUUCAAACUUAGAGUCUUGAUCAGCAGUACUUAUUCUAACACUCUCACAUUGUUUUCAUAAAUUUCCCUCUGCCACAUCAUCACACACCAUGCAAACUGAAUGUAAAUCCUGGAGUGAUCUCUACACUUUCUUUGUCCUUACACCUUCCUUAAAGUGGAGUGAAACCUCUGUUUGAUUCCCUGACUCAUCAGUUGAGAAAACCAACCCGCCUCUGCUGACAUGAAUAGUUUAUUUGCAUACAGCUUUGUUUUCAGCCGUUGAGUUACCCUGAGGGGAGCAGGUGGUGAAGCUCCAAGCCUUGAAUCAGAGAUUCCCAGGUAAAACAGUGAUGUGUGUUACCCAGAGUUUUUACCAUAACGUAAUGAUGACCUUAGAUAGUAGGAAGGAAAUAUCUUCUGUUGGGAUUACAAAAUAAUAACUAAGCUGUAUCAAGUAUCAGCACAUUUUAGGAAAACAUGCUGCAAGUAAUUUAGUCCAAUUUCUAAACAUAGGUCUAGAUCUAAGCAAGAAAUCACAUUCCGUCAUCAUACACACCCAUAAACACACCCACACAGUCCAUUUUUUUAGUAAGUUAGACAAUGCUGGAUCAUCAAGCUGUGUAAGGAAUGUGGGUCAGAGAGGAGAGAGUGCUCACAGUCCAACAGUGAGUGAAAAACUGUGAGUGUCGGAGUGAGACAAAAAGAUAGAGACAGGAGAGACUAAAAA
Cynoglossus semilaevis (tongue sole) is the source of this 4670-nucleotide long non-coding RNA. RefSeq lists it as uncharacterized. The record is from RefSeq and is a predicted model, not a curated record. Lineage: Eukaryota; Metazoa; Chordata; Actinopteri; Pleuronectiformes; Cynoglossidae. The transcript has 2 exons.